Molecule: non-coding RNA, 97 nt
Filed under: uncultured Acetatifactor sp.
Lineage: Bacteria; Bacillati; Bacillota; Clostridia; Lachnospirales; Lachnospiraceae
Source: RNAcentral
UAUCGCUAGGGGAGCACAUCGCUGAGAUUGUGUCCGUUUUGGAUGCUAACCCUCACUACUUGAACCGGGUAAUACCGGCGUAAGGAAGCAGAGAUCA